This 683-nucleotide ribosomal RNA is filed under the name uncultured fungus. Its description in RNAcentral is "eukaryotic LSU rRNA". The stretch from base 216 to 369 matches the Rfam family "5.8S ribosomal RNA". Lineage: Eukaryota; Fungi. The record is from RNAcentral.
CUUGGUCAUUUAGAGGAAGUAAAAGUCGUAACAAGGUUUCCGUAGGUGAACCUGCGGAAGGAUCAUUCAUAAUAAGUGUUUUAUGGCACUUUUUAAAUCCAUAUCCACCUUGUGUGCAAUGUCAGUCGAUCUUCUUCAUGGAGAUCGACCAAACAUCAACCUUUAUUUUUUAACUCUUUGUCUGAAAAAUAUUAUGAAUAAACAAUUCAAAAUACAACAUUCAACAACGGAUCUCUUGGCUCUCGCAUCGAUGAAGAACGCAGCGAAAUGCGAUACGUAAUGUGAAUUGCAGAAUUCAGUGAAUCAUCGAAUCUUUGAACGCAUAUUGCGCUCUUUGGUAUUCCGAAGAGCAUGCUUGUUUGAGUAUCAGUAAACACCUCAAAGCUUUUGGACUUUUUAAUCGAAAAGCUUUGGACUUGAGCAAUCCCAACACCAAUCUUUUUGAGAUCGGUGGCGGGUUGCUUGAAAUGCAGGUGCAGCUGGACAUUCUCCUGAGCUAAAAGCAUAUUCAUUUAGUCCCGUCAAACGGAUUAUUACUUUUGCUGCAGCUAACAUAAAGGGAGUUUGACCGUAUUGGCUGACUGAUGCAGGAUUUCACAAGGGUCGGCAACGAUUCUUGUUAAACUCGAUCUCAAAUCAAGUAAGACUACCCGCUGAACUUAAGCAUAUCAAUAAGCGGAGGA